CUGAAGUGGCUAGAUCUGGAUUACUCCCUGAGGUUGAGAUAGGAGUUUUAUCAUCGGAACCAUUGGGUUCACUUGCUUCCAAUGGGGGUGAAGCAGUUUCUAAUUCUGGUGCAGAGCUCUGAGGUGCAUUUUCUGGUGCAGAGCUCUGAGGUGUAUUUUCUGGUGCCGUUUCAGUAGCUGUGAUGGGAGUAGAUUCAGUUAUUGUUUCAGAAUUAGCAGGGGGAGGUCCUUCUAUUUGCAAUGGCUGGCCAGGUUGCUGCUGUGAACUUUGUGU
Molecule: long non-coding RNA, 274 nt
Filed under: Ricinus communis (castor bean)
Lineage: Eukaryota; Viridiplantae; Streptophyta; Magnoliopsida; Malpighiales; Euphorbiaceae
Description: long non-coding RNA (RCOM_LNC001350)
Source: RNAcentral